UGAAUACGAGACGCUACGGCGUUGAAGCAGUCUAUGUCAUACUUCCAAGAAAAGCUCGCAAUGUCAUAAACAAAUAAUGCCUGUACCAUAACCGACACAGGUGGGUAGGUAGAGUAUACUAAGGGGCGCGAGAUAACCCUCUCUAAGGAACUCGGCAAAAUGACUCCGUAACUUCGGGAGAAGGAGUGCCUUAUUUAUAAGGUUGCAAUAACAAGAUCCAAGCAACUGUUUAUCAAAAACACAGGUCUCCGCUAAGUCGUAAGACGAUGUAUGGGGGCUGACGCCUGCCCAGUGCCAGAAGGUUAAAGAAGUUGGUUAGCAUUCGCGAAGCUGAUAACUGAAGCCCUGGUGAACGGCGGCCGUAACAAUAACGGUCCUAAGGUAGCGAAAUUCCUUGUCGGGUAAGUUCCGACCCGCACGAAAGGCGUAAUGAUUUAGAUACUGUCUCGGAGAGGGGCUCGGUGAAAUAGACUUGUCUGUGAAGAUGCGGACUACCUGCACCUGGACAGAAAGACCCUAUGAAGCUUUACUGUAACCUGAAAUUGAAAUUGGACUUUAUUUGCGCAGUAUAGGUGGGAGGCGUUGAGAGUAUUCUUGCGGGAAUAUUGGAGCCAUCAGUGAGAUACCACUCUUGUAAUGUUAGAUUUCUAACUUUGUAUCAUGAUCUGGUCAAAGAACAGUUUCAGGCGGGCAGUUUGACUGGGGCGGUCGCCUCCCAAACGGUAACGGAGGCGUACAAAGGUUUCCUCUGAACGGGUAGAAAUCGUAUCUAGAGUGUAAAGGCAUAAGGAAGCUUGACUGUGAGACCUACAAGUCGAGCAGGGACGAAAGUCGGUCUUAGUGAUCUGACGGUGCUGAGUGGAAAGGCCGUCACUCAACGGAUAAAAGUUACUCUAAGGAUAACAGGCUGAUCUCCCCCAAGAGUUCACAUCGACGGGGAGGUUUGGCACCUCGAUGUCGGCUCAUCGCAUCCUGGGGCGGUAGUACGUCCCAAGGGUUGGGCUGUUCGCCCAUGAAAGCGGUACGCGAGCUGGGUUCAGAACGUCGUGAGACAGUUCGGUCCAUAUCCGGUGUAGGCGUUAGAAUAUUGAGAGGAGCCUUCUUUAGUACGAGAGGACCGAGAAGGACAUACCUCUGGUGUACCAGUUAUCGUGCCAACGGUAAACGCUGGGUAGCUAUGUAUGGAGAGGAUAACCGCUGAAAGCAUCUAAGUGGGAAGCCCACCUCAAGAUAAG
Molecule: ribosomal RNA, 1235 nt
Filed under: metagenome
Description: bacterial LSU rRNA
Rfam family: Bacterial large subunit ribosomal RNA
Source: RNAcentral